Molecule: ribosomal RNA, 492 nt
Filed under: uncultured bacterium
Lineage: Bacteria
Description: partial 16S ribosomal RNA
Rfam family: Bacterial small subunit ribosomal RNA
Source: RNAcentral
AUUGAACGCUGGCGGCAUGCUUUACACAUGCAAGUCGAACGGUAACAGGCUAUCAGGUGCUGACGAGUGGCGAACGGGGGAGUAAUGCAGAGGAACGCAUCCAGAGGUGGUGUAUAACGCGGCGUAACGUGGGCUAACAUCCCCUGUUAUCUGAGAAUGCAAGCGGGGGACCGAGCAGCAAUGUUUGGCCUCGCGCCAUUGAAGCGGCCGAUGUCGGAUUAGCUAGUUGGUGGGGUAAAGGCCUACCAAGGCGACGAUCCGUAGCUGGUCUGAGAGGACGACCAGCCACACUGGGACUGAGACACGGUCCAGACUCCUACGGGAGGCAGCAGUGGGGAAUAUUGGACAAUGGGCGCAAGCCUGAUCCAGCCAUGCCGCGUGCGUGAAGAAGGCCUUCGGGUUGUAAACCGCUUUUGGCAGGAACGAAACGCUGUACGCUAAUACCGCGCGCUAAUGACGGUACCUGAAGAAUAAGCACCGGCUAACUACGUG